AAGUCGUAACAAGGUUUCCGUAGGUGAACCUGCGGAAGGAUCAUUAACACGUAUCCAACGUUAAACAACCCUGUGAACUUUCAGCGCUCUUGUAACCAGGCGGAACAGCAAUCCCGGUAAAUCAAUGGUGGAACAGUUUUGAUUCGGGACCCAGUGGCAUGGUUUCCCUAAGCAUUACAGAAGGAUCCACUGAGUACGGAUAACGCAUCACGGUUGCCAGAGGUCGAUCACCGGCCGGCAGACAUGCCACAGGGCUAUAUGCCCCUUCAUUCACACCUUGCCUAAUCAUGCCCCGCGGAAACGCCGGGCACAAAAACUGAACAACUGUUAACAAUGGAUAUCUUGGUUCUC
Molecule: unclassified non-coding RNA, 351 nt
Filed under: fungal sp.
Lineage: Eukaryota; Fungi
Description: partial internal transcribed spacer region
Rfam family: Eukaryotic small subunit ribosomal RNA (bases 1-46)
Source: RNAcentral